GGUAGCGUGGCAGAGUUGGUAAAUGCGACGGUCUUGAAAAUCGUUUGUCAGAAAUGGCUUGUGGGUUCAAAUCCUACCGCUACCG
Molecule: transfer RNA, 85 nt
Filed under: Enterocloster clostridioformis
Lineage: Bacteria; Bacillati; Bacillota; Clostridia; Lachnospirales; Lachnospiraceae
Also listed under: 3 other names
Description: tRNA-Ser
Rfam family: tRNA
About the family: Transfer RNA (tRNA) molecules are approximately 80 nucleotides in length. Their secondary structure includes four short double-helical elements and three loops (D, anti-codon, and T loops).
Source: RNAcentral